This 396-nucleotide ribosomal RNA is filed under the name uncultured bacterium. RNAcentral describes it as "bacterial SSU rRNA". It matches the Rfam family "Bacterial small subunit ribosomal RNA", at positions 28 to 428 of the family's 1533-position model. The record is from RNAcentral.
GAUGAACGCUAGCGGCAGGCUUAAUACAUGCAAGUCGAGGGGCAGCACGGGGGCAACCCUGGCGGCGAGCGGCGAACGGGUGAGUAACAUAUCGGAACGUACCCUGUCGUGGGGGAUAACUAUCCGAAAGGAUAGCUAAUACCGCAUACGACCUGAGGGUGAAAGCGGGGGACCGCAAGGCCUCGUGCGAUAGGAGCGGCCGAUAUCGGAUUAGCUAGUUGGUGAGGUAAAGGCUCACCAAGGCGACGAUCCGUAGCGGGUCUGAGAGGACGACCCGCCACACUGGAACUGAGACACGGUCCAGACUCCUACGGGAGGCAGCAGUGGGGAAUUUUGGACAAUGGGGGCAACCCUGAUCCAGCCAUUCCGCGUGAGUGAAGAAGGCCUCGGUUGUAA